UCUCUGACUCUGCCUCCCACAG
RNAcentral lists this microRNA (22 nucleotides) under Mus musculus (house mouse). RNAcentral describes it as "mmu-miR-6952-3p". Lineage: Eukaryota; Metazoa; Chordata; Mammalia; Rodentia; Muridae. The record is from miRBase by way of RNAcentral.